Molecule: ribosomal RNA, 496 nt
Filed under: uncultured bacterium
Lineage: Bacteria
Description: partial 16S ribosomal RNA
Rfam family: Bacterial small subunit ribosomal RNA
Source: RNAcentral
GAUGAACGCUGGCGGCGUGCCUACUAUAUGCAAGUCGAGGGAACAGAUAAGGGGCUUGCUCCUUUGCAAUACACGGCGGUCGUGUGAGUAAAUCGUGGGUAACCUACCUCUCAGACUGGCAUAACUCCGGAAAACCGGGGCUAAGGCCGGAUAACCCUUAGAACCGCCUGGUUCUCAGGGAAAAGAUGGUAUUUCUAUUGCUUGUAGAUCGACCCGAGCCGUACUAGCUAGUUGGUACGGUACCGGCGUACCCAGGCAACGCUACGUAGCCGACCUGAGAGGGUGAUUGGCCCCACUUGAACUGACACACGGUCCAGACCCCUACGGGAGGCAGGAGUAGGGAAGCGUCAGGAAUGGGCGAAAGCGGGACGGAGCAACGCCGCGUGAGUGAUGAACGUCUUCGGAUCGUAAAACGCUGUUAGGAGGGAAGAACGAAUGUGUAAGUAACUGUGCACGUCUUGGCGGUACCUAGGGAGAAAGCCACGGCUAACUACGU